This 735-nucleotide ribosomal RNA is filed under the name uncultured bacterium. RNAcentral describes it as "bacterial SSU rRNA". It matches the Rfam family "Bacterial small subunit ribosomal RNA", at positions 9 to 757 of the family's 1533-position model. The record is from RNAcentral.
GAGUUUGAACCUGGCUCAGGAUGAACGCUGGCGGCGUGCUUAACACAUGCAAGUCGAACGGGGAUAAGGAGGGCUUGCCUUCCUUAUCCAAGUGGCGGACGGGUGAGUAACGCGUGGAUAACCUGGCCCAUACAGGGGGAUAGCAGCUGGAAACGGCUGGUAAUACCGCAUAAGCGCACAGGGGCGCAUGCCCUGGUGUGAAAAACUCCGGUGGUAUGGGAUGGGUCCGCGUCUGAUUAGGCAGUUGGCGGGGUAAAGGCCCACCAAACCGACGAUCAGUAGCCGGCCUGAGAGGGUGGGCGGCCACAUUGGGACUGAGACACGGCCCAAACUCCUACGGGAGGCAGCAGUGGGGAAUAUUGCACAAUGGGGGAAACCCUGAUGCAGCGACGCCGCGUGGGUGAAGGAGUAUUUCGGUAUGUAAAGCCCUAUCAGCAGGGAAGAUAAUGACGGUACCUGACUAAGAAGCCCCGGCUAACUACGUGCCAGCAGCCGCGGUAAUACGUAGGGGGCAAGCGUUAUCCGGAUUUACUGGGUGUAAAGGGAGCGUAGACGGCAGCGCAAGCCUGGAGUGAAAGGAUGGGGCCCAACCCCAUGACUGCUCUGGGAACUGUGCGGCUAGAGUGCCGGAGGGGUAAGCGGAAUUCCUAGUGUAGCGGUGAAAUGCGUAGAUAUUAGGAGGAACACCAGUGGCGAAGGCGGCUUACUGGACGGUAACUGACGUUGAGGCUCGAA